Molecule: long non-coding RNA, 489 nt
Organism: Erpetoichthys calabaricus (reedfish)
Lineage: Eukaryota; Metazoa; Chordata; Cladistia; Polypteriformes; Polypteridae
Exons: 3
Source: RefSeq, a predicted model, not a curated record
GGCAUAGGAAGUUCCACAAAGAAGGGACUGUUAAUCCCUUCAGCCCCCACUGGCGGCCCCAUGGAACCCAAGAGGGCUGGCUGCAUCUUAGGACUACAGGUCCCAGCAUGCCCUGAGGGCGUCCGAGUAGGGAUCCUAAUCUAAGGUGGCUACCACUUAACAUUUUGGUGAAGAAAAUGUCCUGAAGAAAUUGACUUCCCUGGUCCUUCCAUUAUGCUGUCCUCCCCACUGGUUAAGGAUCCCUGUUCAGUCCCGGCCUGGAUGCCAGUCUCUAUAUGUCAUCCAUUAUUACAUACAUACAUGAACACACACAUACAUUUCUUGUUCAGUCAUUUUCCAACCCACUAAGUCCUGAACUGGGUUGCAGGAGUCUGCUGGAACCUAUCCCAGUUAGCAUAGGGCGCAAGGUAGGAACAAACCCCAGACAGGGCACUGCAGGGCAAACACACACCAAUCACACAUUAGGGGCCAAUUUAGAAUCGCCAGUUC